AGCGCUUUUGACAACACUGUUAUAGGAGUCGACCUUGCAAGGGAGUAUACUGUAUAGAACAGUUUUCCUAGUUCUAUGAGGAUUCCUAAUUAGUAUAGGUUUCCUAGUGAAGUAUACUCCUGUAUAUAAAUACCUAUGUACUCUUAAUUGAAAUCAAUGAGAAAAACACCUUUCUCUUCAAAAUCAAUCAAAUGGUUCUAAGAGGCAUGAUUUGAUGAUGUGAUUUUCGCUACUGAUCUUUUCAAAUACUAGUUAGGUCAAAUUUGAAAUCACUUCUAAGGCUUUGGGAAGGAGGUGGAAUUUGUGUCAAAUUGGAUUAUCUUCUUUUGUCAUUUAAUAAUGUGAGCUGGGACGUGUUGGUUUUGCAACUUGGUAUUUAUUUGGUUAUGUCUAAGACAGUAUUUGAUUUGCUUCUGUUUCAAAAAGCAUUCAUGGAAAGUAGUGCACUUUUUUUGCAUGGAGGAUAUUGCCACUAGCAAAUGAUCUCCAGUUUGUAGGUGAGAGUUCAUGAAUAGGUUUUGUGUCAUUAGCUUUCUCCCUCAUGCAAAAGUCCACUGGCCUUGAAUGUGGACAAAAAUAGGCCUAAUUCUACCUUUCAUCGAACUUUAGUUGAUAAUAUGGGGUGCUCAUGAUUGAAGCUUUGGACAAUUUGUUGAAGGGUCUUUGUUAUCGUAUCAAAGAAUCACUCGAUUUAAAAGUUCUAGCUUAUAGCUAAAGGUCCAAGAAUAAUUUUUGUAUUUCUAUCAGCCUCCAUGCAUGAUUUGGAUUAAAUGAGGUGAGAGGAAUUUACAACUUAUGAAGGAGAGAACCUUGAGAGGUCAACAUGGGUUUGAAGUAGCUUAUUGUUAUAUAUUCUUUCAAGUUUGGCUCUAAGCAUAACAUUGUGGAAGGAAAGGAUCCAUGUAAUGGAACCACCAAUCACUAUUUGAGAAUUAAGUUUGAUUGAAGGAUGCCU
Molecule: unclassified non-coding RNA, 955 nt
Filed under: Hevea brasiliensis (rubber tree)
Lineage: Eukaryota; Viridiplantae; Streptophyta; Magnoliopsida; Malpighiales; Euphorbiaceae
Source: RNAcentral